GCAGAAUCUACAUUAUCCUCAUCAUCAGCAAUACUUUGGACAGCAGCUGUUGCAGAAACUGAUGCAGAUCUGCAGUAAUAAUCUUACUUAAGAUGAUUCACUAGCAACGAGUAAACUUUUUGAUGCAACAUAUAUCAGAAGGCUUAUGAUUCACCUCACUCAUCAACUCUAAGGUAGAGAAAAUGGAAGUGACAAGGAGAAAAGCAAAAUACAUAGAAAAGAAUAACUCCAUAUUACAUGUAGAUCAGUACUUAUAUCAUCAAAAUUCAGGGCCAACAGUGACCUUUCAGAACGACGGAACCCCAGAGCUGCAUCAAGAGUUGACUGCUUCAAGUUACUGGUACCUCUGCCCCUACCUCUUCCUCUUGCAGAAGUCCUACUUUUUCCAAGUUCAUAAGCACCACGAGAUGACCUAGAUGACCCUCUCCGACCUCUUGCACAAGUUCUUGAGCCAGAUAUUUGUGUUGUGUCUUCAUCAUCACUAAAGGAAACCGCAUUUCCUGUUCCAGCAGCAGUUCUACUUGUUGGAUCCUGCAUGAAAUUGAAAACACAAGCUCAGAAAGCAGAUAAUUAGACACAUAUGCAACCAAAAAAACACAGGCCUAAAAGGUUCCUGGCACAUGGAUAAGUAAUGCAAGGUCAACAAUGAAUUAUUACCUCUGAAGACUUGGCAGGAGACAUAAAUUGUGAAGUAUCUUUAGGGCGAGUAGACCUUUCCUUGACACGUUCCUGAAAAAUAAUAAUAGCAAUAAUAAUAAAUAAAUAAACAUUUAUAAACAAUCACGACAUGAAAUUUUGCAUGCAUGGUAAGGAAUAUAGGAAGUGAGCCCUCCUUAAAAGCCAAUGUGAUGCGUCAACAACACUUAGGUGAAAGAAGUAAACACUGUUUUACAAUACAUAUAAAUGAAGACAUAUUUGUUCCAAUCCAUGUAUACCAACUAUAACCAUGGCAAUAGUUGUGUAAACGCCAAAAGGACCCAAGGGCCCGAAGGUGGCUGGUAAGCCUUCUGCAGUAGUCACUCCGUUAGGCCACAGACAAAUUUGCUCUCCUCGCAUUGAUAAAGCAGUCUUGCUUAGGUGGCACUUUGACUAAAGUUAUAAAACUUGACUAUUACUUCUUUUCUGGUGAGUAAGAUUAAAAUUUUAUUGAAUCAAGUAAAUAGGCAUAGCCCAAGUAUACAGGAAGUAUACAAAAGUGAACACCUAAUCACAAUUGAGGAACUAGAAGAACAUACAAGAAAAUCAUUUUGACCAUUACUGUAAUGAUAAAGACAAAUACGAUGAACUUAAGCUUCUUACCUCCAUGCACUCUCCUACUUUAAGAAUUAAGUCUUCCUCUUCAAACUUCAGAGUAUCUGCAUCCUUGGCAAUUUUGUGCUAUAGAAGAAUUAUAAGAAAGAAACCAAUCAAAAUGAAAAUAGAACAGAAAUGAGAAGAAAACAAAUUAAUCAUUUUUAUAUGAUACAAUAACUCAAAACUACGUUUAAAAUUCUUAUAUGCAAUUAUGAUAGCAACACAAGACCUCUGUACAUACAUCCAGUAUAUCUAAAGUCAACUCCGUCUCUAUUUUCGAUGUAAGAUGCAGGUGUAAGAAUAAUAGAGGCUACUUACUCGUGUUUCUUCAAGAUUGUAUUGCAGACAAGAAUAGAAAGCCAUUUUGUCAUCCUUGUUAACAAAAUUGUGUAAUGCAACAUCCAAAUCAUUGACGGGAAGGAUUUCCAUUUUCUGCACAAUCAUAAACUAUACAGGUUUA
Carya illinoinensis is the source of this 1753-nucleotide long non-coding RNA. RefSeq lists it as uncharacterized. NCBI's taxonomy places the organism in Eukaryota, Viridiplantae, Streptophyta, Magnoliopsida, Fagales, Juglandaceae. The transcript has 2 exons. The record is from RefSeq and is a predicted model, not a curated record.